UAGAGUUUGAUCAUGGCUCAGAGCGAACGCUGGCGGCAGGCCUAACACAUGCAAGUCGAGCGGCCGUAGCAAUACGGCAGCGGCAGACGGGAGAGUAACACGUGGGAACGCGCCCUUCGGUUCGGAAUAACUCAGGGAAACUUGAGCUAAUACCGGAUACGCCCUUACGGGGAAAGAUUCAUCGCCGAAGGAACGGCCCGCGUCCGAUUAGCUAGUUGGUGAGGUAAUGGCUCACCAAGGCAACGAUCGGUAGCUGGUCUAAGAGGAUGAUCAGCCUCACUGGGACUGAGACACGGCCCAGACUCCUACGGGAGGCAGCAGUGGGGAAUAUUGGACAAUGGGCGCAAGCCUGAUCCAGCCAUGCCGCGUGGGUGAUGAAGGCCCUAGGGUUGUAAAGCCCUUUCGGACGGAACGAAAUCGCGCGGGUUAACAGCCCGCGUGGAUGACGGUACCGUAAGAAGAAGCAUGCGACGUCGGCCCA
RNAcentral lists this ribosomal RNA (481 nucleotides) under uncultured bacterium. Its description in RNAcentral is "bacterial SSU rRNA". It matches the Rfam family "Bacterial small subunit ribosomal RNA", at positions 1 to 510 of the family's 1533-position model. The record is from RNAcentral.